GACGAACGCUGGCGGCGUGCCUAAUACAUGCAAGUUGAGCGAGGAAGAUUGGUGCUUGCACCAAUUUGAAGAGCAGCGAACGGGUGAGUAACGCGUGGGGAAUCUGCCUUUGAGCGGGGGACAACAUUUGGAAACGAAUGCUAAUACCGCAUAACAACUUUAAACAUAAGUUUUAAGUUUGAAGGAUGCAAUUGCAUCACUCAAAGAUGAUCCCGCGUUGUAUUAGCUAGUUGGUGAGGUAAAGGCUCACCAAGGCGAUGAUACAUAGCCGACCUGAGAGGGUGAUCGGCCACAUUGGGACUGAGACACGGCCCAAACUCCUACGGGAGGCAGCAGUAGGGAAUCUUCGGCAAUGGACGAAAGUCUGACCGAGCAACGCCGCGUGAGUGAAGAAGGUUUUCGGAUCGUAAAACUCUGUUGGUAGAGAAGAACGUUGGUGAGAGUGGAAAGCUCAUCAAGUGACGGUAACUACCCAGAAAGGGACGGCUAACUACGUG
Molecule: ribosomal RNA, 497 nt
Filed under: uncultured bacterium
Lineage: Bacteria
Description: partial 16S ribosomal RNA
Rfam family: Bacterial small subunit ribosomal RNA
Source: RNAcentral